Molecule: ribosomal RNA, 255 nt
Filed under: uncultured bacterium
Lineage: Bacteria
Description: partial 16S ribosomal RNA
Rfam family: Bacterial small subunit ribosomal RNA
Source: RNAcentral
GACGAACCGUGCAAACGUUGUUCGGAAUCACUGGGCUUAAAGGGCGCGUAGGCGGGCAGGCAAGUCGGAGGUGAAAGCCCACGGCUCAACCGUGGAAGUGCCCCCGAUACUGCUAGUCUUGAGGGAGGUAGGGGCGUGCGGAACUUCCGGUGGAGCGGUGAAAUGCGUAGAUAUCGGAAGGAACACCGGUGGCGAAAGCGGCGCGCUGGACCUCUUCUGACGCUGAGGCGCGAAAGCCAGGGGAGCAAAGCGGGG